Molecule: long non-coding RNA, 371 nt
Filed under: Gorilla gorilla gorilla (western lowland gorilla)
Lineage: Eukaryota; Metazoa; Chordata; Mammalia; Primates; Hominidae
Description: lncRNA (ENSGGOG00000044695.1)
Source: RNAcentral
CUCAAUCUGUUGACCCUCCCCUCUGAAGGCUCUUAGGGCCAGCGGGCCCAGGAGCUCCUAGUCAUGGGAUUUCAUGGACCUAUCACUUUUUAAAAGUUAGGUCUGCUCACUCUGUGUCAUCAAGGACAGACCCAAUGGCCCUAAUACGAACCCACUGCCAUUUGUUAUCUCCAAGCAGCAGAGCUCUCAGCAUCAAGGACUUUCUAAGAAAGGACCAUGGCGAUGGCUUUGUGACCUGCCUGGUCUGACCACGGAUAACUGGCUGAUUCCUCCUCCUGGCAUUCAGGGUUGUACCCCUGUGUUCUGAACUGAGGGCUGGAGAGAGAAAUAAUGAACUCACCAAGCUCUACUGACUGCCUGCUGCUGGCCGC